CCUACGGGAGGCAGCAGUGGGGAAUUUUGGACAAUGGGGGCAACCCUGAUCCAGCCAUGCCGCGUGCGGGAAGAAGGCCUUCGGGUUGUAAACCGCUUUUGUCCGGAAAGAAAAGGCAUCCCCUAAUACGGGGUGUUCUUGACGGUACCGGAAGAAUAAGCACCGGCUAACUACGUGCCAGCAGCCGCGGUAAUACGUAGGGUGCGAGCGUUAAUCGGAAUUACUGGGCGUAAAGCGUGCGCAGGCGGUCCGUUAAGUCUGAUGUGAAAGCCCCGGGCUCAACCUGGGAACUGCAUUGGAAACUGGCGGGCUCGAGUGUGGCAGAGGGGGGUGGAAUUCCACGUGUAGCAGUGAAAUGCGUAGAGAUGUGGAGGAACACCGAUGGCGAAGGCAGCCCCCUGGGCUAACACUGACGCUCAGGCACGAAAGCGUGGGGAGCAAACAGGAUUAGAUACCCUGGUAGUCCACGCCCUAAACUAUGUCAACUGGGUGUUGGGGAAGCGAUUCCUCAGUACCGUAGCUAACGCGUGAAGUUGACCGCCUGGGGAGUACGGCCGCAAGGUUAAAACUCAAAGGAAUUGACGGA
Molecule: ribosomal RNA, 586 nt
Filed under: uncultured prokaryote
Description: bacterial SSU rRNA
Rfam family: Bacterial small subunit ribosomal RNA
Source: RNAcentral